UUUGAUUCUAUUUGUGCACACGGG
RNAcentral lists this non-coding RNA (24 nucleotides) under Rattus norvegicus (Norway rat). The record is from RNAcentral. Lineage: Eukaryota; Metazoa; Chordata; Mammalia; Rodentia; Muridae.